RNAcentral lists this long non-coding RNA (1027 nucleotides) under Anas platyrhynchos platyrhynchos (common mallard). Its description in RNAcentral is "lncRNA (ENSAPLG00000021582.1)". Lineage: Eukaryota; Metazoa; Chordata; Aves; Anseriformes; Anatidae. The record is from RNAcentral.
GAGGUCAGCUGUGAAUAUCCAACUUCUCUGCAGCUGCUAAACCAGGGGGAUACUCCACAGGUGCUGAGUGCCUUGUAAAACAGGGCUCGGUUGGUCUGUGCUUGCUCUCUUCAUCUGUGUCAAUGCCCUGGACUUGCAUGAGUGCUCACAAAUGCUCCUGUGGAGUUGGUGACUUGGUAGUGCACUGGCCAUGGUAUUUAUCAGUAUGGAGAAGUGUCCUACAUUCAAGUCCUUAGCAAUCAUGCUAAAGAAUCUCUUCUUCCUACAAAAUACCAUGAAGGCAUCGUCAUAAAGCUGUUCCUACAAGCAAGCUUACCAAUGCACUGCAGAUCUGUCCUGUCAUGCACAGAGUCCCAUGAGUGCCACUUUAAUGAUCCAGGUGUAUACACAUCAUCCUCCAAGCAAGUCAAAAGCAUGAAUGCUGUGAAGACAGGAACCAUGCACUUCCACGGGGACACUGAUCAUGGCAGCUGCUACUACAAAUGUCCUCUCCUGCUCCUGGGACCAGCAGCCUAUGAGCAAACAGAGCCAUACCCUUUUUCCACAAGUUCCUGACAAGAAACAUCAGACUUGCAGAUUCAGAGAUAUCAGGCUCCAACAGUACCUCACCAAAGACUUUUCUGGGCAUAAUUCUGGCUAAAUAAUGACCAGCAGUAAUCACUCCCACGUCAGUGGCCCAAGAAGCUACCUAGCCUGAAGCAGCAGGACAGGACAGGAUUUGAACCCAAGGAUGCUUCCUGAUAACCUUUCUGGUAGAUGAGCUGUAGAAGUAGAACUGUUAUUUAUUAUUCCUUUCAUCUGUUUGAAGCUCUAGAGAGUGCAGGUCUGUAACUUUACUCUUGUGUCAGCAGGGGGAUGGAAGUGAGAAGCAAAAACAGAAAAGUGAAAGCAGCUUGGUGCUGUCUCUGGAGCCAGGGCAACCAUGAGUGCUCCUUUGGGCUGCUUCUGGGGAAGGCUUCACUUUGCACAAGGCAACUCCAUAUGGUGAAGCAAUAAAAUCUGCUUCAGCUUGUUCUUUUUGUCUGUG